UACAGAGGGUGCAAGCGUUAAUCGGAUUUACUGGGCGUAAAGCGUGCGCAGGCGGUUGUGCAAGACAGAUGUGAAAACCCCGGGCUCAACCUGGGAACUGCAUUUGUGACUGCACGGCUAGAGUGCGGCAGAGGGAGAUGGAAUUCCGCGUGUAGCAGUGAAAUGCGUAGAUAUGCGGAGGAACACCGAUGGCGAAGGCAGCUCGCUGGGACGUUACUGACGCUGAGACGCGAAAGCGUGGGGAGCAAACAGG
This 253-nucleotide ribosomal RNA is filed under the name uncultured bacterium. Its description in RNAcentral is "partial 16S ribosomal RNA". It matches the Rfam family "Bacterial small subunit ribosomal RNA", at positions 524 to 776 of the family's 1533-position model. The record is from RNAcentral.